UACGUAGGUGGCAAGCGUUUAUCCGGAAUUAUUGGGCGUAAAGCGCGCGCAGGCGGUCCUUUAAGUCUGAUGUGAAAGCCCACGGCUCAACCGUGGAGGGUCAUUGGAAACUGGGGGACUUUGAGUGCAGGAGAGAAGAGUGGAAUUCCACGUGUAGCGGUGAAAUGCGUAGAGAUGUGGAGGAACACCAGUGGCGAAGGCGACUCUUUGGCCUGUAACUGACGCUGAGGCGCGAAAGCGUGGGGAUCAAACAGG
This 255-nucleotide ribosomal RNA is filed under the name uncultured bacterium. Its description in RNAcentral is "partial 16S ribosomal RNA". It matches the Rfam family "Bacterial small subunit ribosomal RNA", at positions 524 to 776 of the family's 1533-position model. The record is from RNAcentral.